This 225-nucleotide ribosomal RNA is filed under the name uncultured Flavobacterium sp. Its description in RNAcentral is "partial 16S ribosomal RNA". It matches the Rfam family "Bacterial small subunit ribosomal RNA", at positions 568 to 792 of the family's 1533-position model. Lineage: Bacteria; Pseudomonadati; Bacteroidota; Flavobacteriia; Flavobacteriales; Flavobacteriaceae. The record is from RNAcentral.
CAUGCAGGCGGUUUAAUAAGUCAGUGGUGAAAUCUGGUCGCUCAACGAUCAAACUGCCAUUGAUACUGUUAGACUUGAAUUACUGUGAAGUAACUAGAAUAUGUAGUGUAGCGGUGAAAUGCUUAGAUAUUACAUGGAAUACCAAUUGCGAAGGCAGGUUACUAACAGUGGAUUGACGCUGAUGGACGAAAGCGUGGGGAGCGAACAGGAUUAGAUACCCGCGUA